AGGAAGAUCAUCUAUCGGGAUCUAAAGCCUGAGAACAUCAUGCUGGACUGCAGAGGUUACGGCAAAGUCUGUGACAUGGGCCUGGCACGUUUCGUGGUGGGCAAGACCAACACCCAGGCUGGAACUCCUGAUUACAUGGCGCCAGAGAUGAUCGAUCCA
RNAcentral lists this non-coding RNA (159 nucleotides) under uncultured Symbiodinium. Lineage: Eukaryota; Dinophyceae; Suessiales; Symbiodiniaceae. The record is from RNAcentral.